UUUGUAUACAUUGGGGGAUCGUGAAGAUUUUAUCAGUGAGGAUUUGCUCUCAGAAGGACGAUGAUAAAUUUUAAACUCUCAGACAUAGUACGAUAAGGUUGUAUGUCUAAAGGGAAACAGCCCAGAACAAGAGUUAAAGGUUCCAAAAUUAUUGUUCAGUGAAAAACAAGGAAGUAUUUUUCGAAUACGACCAGGAAAUAGGCUUAGAAGCGGCCAUUUUUUGAAGAUCUCGUAACAGAGCACUGGUUUAAAUUGCCAAUUGGCAAUUUUAUAAGUUAAAAGCAUCAAAAAUUUAACGGAUCUAAACAAUAUACCUAUACCUUGUACACAAGGGCAUAUAUACCUUUGUGAGGUAGCAGAACGUUGGGCAAAUCUUUGAGUUUAUAUCUUUGAUAUGAAUUAAAAAGCAAGUACAUGAGAUGGGUUGGACACGAAGGAAAGGUUUUAGACAACCCCAAGUGAUAAUGCUGACAUGAGUAACGAAAAAGGGAUAUCCCCUCGCCUUAAGCUUAUGGUAUCAAAUUAAGUAACGGCCCCUAAAUUUAUAAACUUUCUUAAAUGGUUAAAUGAUGGGUAAAUCUUUAUAUGUAUUACAACACUUUAGAUAGUCCCCUCUUUAUCUAUAAAGCACUAAGUGUUCUGGAAAUAAAUACAUAUAUUUAACCGUACCUAGACACUACCACAAGUAAGCAAGUAGAG
Molecule: ribosomal RNA, 699 nt
Filed under: Dufourea flammea
Lineage: Eukaryota; Fungi; Ascomycota; Lecanoromycetes; Teloschistales; Teloschistaceae
Description: bacterial LSU rRNA
Rfam family: Bacterial large subunit ribosomal RNA
Source: RNAcentral